This 191-nucleotide ribosomal RNA is filed under the name uncultured bacterium. RNAcentral describes it as "partial 16S ribosomal RNA". It matches the Rfam family "Bacterial small subunit ribosomal RNA", at positions 254 to 443 of the family's 1533-position model. The record is from RNAcentral.
GAGGUAACGUCACACCAAGUCUGCGAUCUUUAGGGGGCCUGAGAGGGUGAUCCCCCACUCUGGUACGGAGACACGCCCCACACUCCUACGGGACGCAGCAGUGAAGAAUUUUGGACAAUGGGAGGAACCCUGAUCCACCCGUCCCGCGUGAAAGAUUAAGGUCCUAUGGAUUGUAAACUUCUUUUCUUUUG